Molecule: ribosomal RNA, 431 nt
Filed under: uncultured bacterium
Lineage: Bacteria
Description: partial 16S ribosomal RNA
Rfam family: Bacterial small subunit ribosomal RNA
Source: RNAcentral
AACGAACGCUGGCGGCAGGCCUAACACAUGCAAGUCGAGCGCCCUUUCGGGGGAGCGGCGGACGGGUGAGUAACGCGUGGGAAUAUGCCCUUCUCUACGGAAUAGCCUCGGGAAACUGAGAGUAAUACCGUAUACGCCCUAUGGGGGAAAGAUUUAUCGGGGAAGGAUUAGCCCGCGUUGGAUUAGGUAGUUGGUGGGGUAAUGGCCUACCAAGCCGACGAUCCAUAGCUGGUUUGAGAGGAUGAUCAGCCACACUGGGACUGAGACACGGCCCAGACUCCUACGGGAGGCAGCAGUGGGGAAUCUUAGACAAUGGGGGCAACCCUGAACUAGCCAUGCCGGGGGAGUGAUGAAGGCCUUAGGGUUGUAAAGCUCUUUCAGCUGGGAAGAUAAUGACGGUACCAGCAGAAGAAGCCCCGGCUAACUCCGUG